AUACGAGCUACCUUUUACUUUUAAAAGAAUGUAUAGAUGCUAGAAAAGUUUUGGGCUUGGAGGAGAUGAGUUUGGAUUCUCAGGCAAUGGGGCUAUGUUUCCUCACAAAGAGAACCGCUAUUUGCGCCGGCUAUGAGGGAUUAAAGUAUGUUCAAUAAAAGAUAAUUUAAAUUUAUUUUAUGCAAUAAUGAAUUUAAUUUUAUGUUUUGAUAGUUUAACAUGCUCUCCAUGUUAAAUCUCUAUAAAAGAAUAAAAAUCAAAUACGUAAAUCGUUCUACUUUAA
Non-coding RNA from Jatropha curcas, 283 nucleotides. NCBI's taxonomy places the organism in Eukaryota, Viridiplantae, Streptophyta, Magnoliopsida, Malpighiales, Euphorbiaceae. The record is from RefSeq and is a predicted model, not a curated record.